UGGGGAAUAUUGCACAAUGGACGGAAGUCUGAUGCAGCAACGCCGCGUGCGGGAUGACGGCCUUCGGGUUGUAAACCGCUUUUUCUCAUGACGAAGUUUUUUGACGGUAGUGGGGGAAGAAGCACCGGCUAACUACGUGCCAGCAGCCGCGGUGAUACGUAGGGUGCGAGCGUUGUCCGGAAUUAUUGGGCGUAAAGAGCUUGUAGGCGGUUUGUCGCGUCGAUAGUGCAAACUCAGUGCUUAACGCUGAGCCUGCUGUUGAUACGGGCAGACUAGAGGAAGGAAGGGGAGAAUGGAAUUCCCGGUGGAGCGGUGGAAUGCGCAGAUAUCGGGGGGAACACCGGUGGCGAAGGCGGUUCUCUGGGCCUUUCCUGACGCUGAGAAGCGAAAGCGUGGGGAGCGAACAGG
This 408-nucleotide ribosomal RNA is filed under the name Fusobacteriota bacterium. RNAcentral describes it as "Fusobacteria bacterium partial 16S ribosomal RNA". It matches the Rfam family "Bacterial small subunit ribosomal RNA", at positions 355 to 776 of the family's 1533-position model. The record is from RNAcentral. Lineage: Bacteria; Fusobacteriati; Fusobacteriota.